RNAcentral lists this ribosomal RNA (577 nucleotides) under uncultured bacterium. Its description in RNAcentral is "bacterial SSU rRNA". It matches the Rfam family "Bacterial small subunit ribosomal RNA", at positions 338 to 916 of the family's 1533-position model. The record is from RNAcentral.
CCUACGGGAGGCAGCAGUAGGGAAUAUUGGACAAUGGGUGAGAGCCUGAUCCAGCCAUGCCGCGUGCAGGAAGAAGGCGUUAUGCGUUGUAAACUGCUUUUGCCAGGGGAUAAAACGGUUCUGCGGAACUAAUUGAAGGUACCUGGUGAAUAAGCCACGGCUAACUACGUGCCAGCAGCCGCGGUAAUACGUAGGUGGCAAGCGUUGUCCGGAUUUAUUGGGUUUAAAGGGUGCGUAGGCGGCCCUGUAAGUCAGUGCUGAAAUAUCCCGGCUUAACCGGGAGGGUGGCAUUGAUACUGCAGGGCUUGAGUACAGAUGAGGUAGGCGGAAUUGACGGUGUAGCGGUGAAAUGCAUAGAUAUCGUCAAGAACACCGAUAGCGAAGGCAGCUUACCAAGCUGUAACUGACGCUGAGGCACGAAAGCGUGGGGAUCAAACAGGAUUAGAUACCCUGGUAGUCCACACUGUAAACGUUGAUGACUCGAUGUUGGCGAUACACAGCCAGCGUCCAAGAGCAAUCGUUAAGUCAUCCACCUGGGGAGUACGCCGGCAACGGUGAAACUCAAAUGAAUUGACGG